This 460-nucleotide ribosomal RNA is filed under the name uncultured bacterium. RNAcentral's name for it is "partial 16S ribosomal RNA". It matches the Rfam family "Bacterial small subunit ribosomal RNA", at positions 338 to 795 of the family's 1533-position model. The record is from RNAcentral.
CCUACGGGAGGCAGCAGUGAGGAAUAUUGGUCAAUGGACGAGAGUCUGAACCAGCCAAGUAGCGUGAAGGAUGACUGCCCUAUGGGUUGUAAACUUCUUUUAUAUGGGAAUAAAAUGUUCCACGUGUGGGAUUUUGUAUGUACCAUAUGAAUAAGGAUCGGCUAACUCCGUGCCAGCAGCCGCGGUAAUACGGAGGAUCCGAGCGUUAUCCGGAUUUAUUGGGUUUAAAGGGAGCGUAGGUGGAUUGUUAAGUAAGUUGUGAAAGUUUGCGGCUCAACCGUAAAAUUGCAGUUGAAACUGGCAGUCUUGAGUACAGUAGAGGUGGGCGGAAUUCGUGGUGUAGCGGUGAAAUGCUUAGAGAACACGAAGAACUCCGAUUGCGAAGGCAGUUCACUGGACUGCAACUGACACUGAGGCUCGAAAGUGUGGGUAUCAAACAGGAUUAGAUACCCCUGUAGUC